UACGUAGGGGGCAAGCGUUGUCCGGAUUUAUUGGGCGUAAAGAGCUCGUAGGCGGCUUGUUGCGUCGACCGCGAAAACCCGCGGCUUAACUGUGGGCUUGCGGUCGAUACGGGCGGGCUGGAGUUCGGUAGGGGAGACUGGAAUUCCUGGUGUAGCGGUGAAAUGCGCAGAUAUCAGGAGGAACACCGGUGGCGAAGGCGGGUCUCUGGGCCGAUACUGACGCUGAGGAGCGAAAGCGUGGGGAGCGAACAGG
RNAcentral lists this ribosomal RNA (253 nucleotides) under uncultured bacterium. RNAcentral describes it as "partial 16S ribosomal RNA". It matches the Rfam family "Bacterial small subunit ribosomal RNA", at positions 524 to 776 of the family's 1533-position model. The record is from RNAcentral.